RNAcentral lists this ribosomal RNA (490 nucleotides) under uncultured bacterium. Its description in RNAcentral is "partial 16S ribosomal RNA". It matches the Rfam family "Bacterial small subunit ribosomal RNA", at positions 30 to 507 of the family's 1533-position model. The record is from RNAcentral.
AUUGAACGCUGGCGGCAGGCCCAACACAUGCGAGUCGAACGGUAACAGGAAGCAGCUUGCUGCUUUGCUGACGAGUGGCGGACGGGUGAGUAAUGUCUGGGAAACUGCCUGAUGGAGGGGGAUAACUACUGGAAACGGUAGCUAAUACCGCAUAACGUCGCAAGACCAAAGAGGGGGACCUUCGGGCCUCUUGCCAUCGGAUGUGCCCAGAUGGGAUUAGCUAGUAGGUGGGGUAACGGCUCACCUAGGCGACGAUCCCUAGCUGGUCUGAGAGGAUGACCAGCCACACUGGAACUGAGACACGGUCCAGACUCCUACGGGAGGCAGCAGUGGUGAAUAUUGCACAAUGGGCGCAAGCCUGAUGCAGCCAUGCCGCGUGUAUGAAGAAGGCCUUCGGGUUGUAAAGUACUUUCAGCGGGGAGGAAGGGAGUAAAGUUAAUACCUUUGCUCAUUGACGUUACCCGCAGAAGAAGCACCGGCUAACUCCGUG